CCUACGGGAGGCAGCAGUGAGGAAUAUUGGUCAAUGGACGCAAGUCUGAACCAGCCAUGCCGCGUGCAGGAAGACGGCCCUAUGAGUUGUAAACUGCUUUUGUACGAGGGUAAACGCAGAUACGCGUAUCUGUCUGAAAGUCUCGUACGAAUAAGGAUCGGCUAACUCCGUGCCAGCAGCCGCGGUAAUACGGAGGAUUAGAGAGUUAUCCGGAUUUAUUGGGUUUAAAGGGUGCGUAGGCGGUCUGCUAAGUUAGAGGUGAAAUCCCGGGGCUCAACUUCGGAAUUGCCUUUGAUACUGGUCGGCUAGAGAGUAGUUGCGGUAGGCGGAAUGUAUGGUGUAGCGGUGAAAUGCUUAGAGAUCGUACAGAACACCGAUGGCGAAGGCAGCUUACCAAGCUACUUCUGACGUUGAGGCACGAAAGCGUGGGGAGCAAACAGGAUUAGAUACCCGGGUAGUC
This 460-nucleotide ribosomal RNA is filed under the name uncultured bacterium. Its description in RNAcentral is "partial 16S ribosomal RNA". It matches the Rfam family "Bacterial small subunit ribosomal RNA", at positions 338 to 795 of the family's 1533-position model. The record is from RNAcentral.